GUUCAUAGCCUUUCCAACUCGAGUUAUUAAUACGAGAAAUGAAUAAUUAAUUUUUAAGAAAAAUAAUGAUUUUUUUUUCCGAUAAAUAAAUUGUAUUAAAAAUAAAUAAAUAAAUAAAUAAAUAAAACAAGGCCUAAGCCAACACAGCCCAAAAGGACAAAACAACCAAAAGAAAAAAACAAGCCCAAUCCACUAGCCUAAGUAACUGUUGCUGCAACUGCAAAUAAGCAGAGGACGCAACAAAAAUCAGAAGGCGACAGGAUAGACACAACCCAACGAAUCAAUCAUCAAUGGCAGCUCCGUUAAUGACAGUGCUCGGAAGGAACCAAGCUUCGGCGACUGACCUCGCAGAACCACAGUCAUUGAAAUUGACAGAGUUCUGCUUGUUCCUAAUGCAUUCCUCAAUUUGCUUAAUCAAAAUACCAGAGCUCACAUUCUUCCCAGAAAAGGCCAUCUGCACCAGCCUCUCUGGAUUUUGGCUUUCUAAAAACGCCACAUCAGUUUUUUCAAGAGUUACAUCAGCAAUUCCAAGAGCCACGUCAGCAGUUUUCACUCUCCAGAAACAUGCACUCCAUCAGGCUCUCUGAAUUUUCGCUCUCCAAAAAUAAUAAUAAUAAAAUAUUAAAAUUAUUAUUAUUUUUUUUUAACUUUUGCUAAACGGUUAUAUUUGUAACGGCUAUAUUUUUAACGGCUAUAUUUUUCAUCUUAUAUAAGAAACUCAUUUGCUCAUCUGAAAAUUAUCACUAUAUUAAUCUCUCUCCAUAGUUUAAUUUAUGUUGCAUUUUGUUUGUUUUUAAGAUGUUAUGACAUUUCGUGUACUAAAAUUUUUAUUAUGUAAUGGUUUUUUAAGAUUAAAAAUAAUGAAUUGGAAUAAGAAAAUAAGUAUUACAAAAU
Long non-coding RNA from Cornus florida, 894 nucleotides. RefSeq lists it as uncharacterized. NCBI's taxonomy places the organism in Eukaryota, Viridiplantae, Streptophyta, Magnoliopsida, Cornales, Cornaceae. The transcript is spliced from 2 exons. The record is from RefSeq and is a predicted model, not a curated record.